This 20-nucleotide unclassified non-coding RNA is filed under the name Chlamydomonas reinhardtii. RNAcentral describes it as "small RNA Cre_0658". The record is from RNAcentral. Lineage: Eukaryota; Viridiplantae; Chlorophyta; Chlorophyceae; Chlamydomonadales; Chlamydomonadaceae.
AUACAGACGUGUGAAUGCAG